This is a long non-coding RNA of Oreochromis niloticus (Nile tilapia), 1753 nucleotides long. RefSeq lists it as uncharacterized. The record is from RefSeq and is a predicted model, not a curated record. NCBI's taxonomy places the organism in Eukaryota, Metazoa, Chordata, Actinopteri, Cichliformes, Cichlidae. The transcript has 2 exons.
UAGAAAAAGAUGAGACAAUUGGUUUUAAAAUAGAGUAUCAACGAAAAAGAAGCAGCACAAAUUUGUGCCUUUUGUGCAGUUACAAGCGGUAUAGUUUUUUCUAUUAGAAAUUGCGUCAUUAUUCUAGCUUUAUUGUCUGCUUCCAAGUCAAAAUGUUCAAUAAUAGAUAAAAUAUUAUUUCUAAAGCCAUUCAGUUAAAAAAAAAAGGUACUUGCACUCUGGCACCACAUCAACAUCUUGUCGCAGGAUUGGGUUGUGUGACUGUCCUCUUCCUUCUAAUGUCAAUCACCAUCUCUCGGAAGCAGACGAUUCCUCCCAGACCACUCCACAAAACCGUCCACUACUGCUCUGUACUCCCAAUACAUCCAACCACCGCACAGUUGUCAGUGUAAUUUUGCAAGCUGCCCGAGUCUAAGUUGUAUUGAAAUGUAAAUAUAAUGUUUCUGAAAAAUGUUUAAAAUUGUGAUUUGUCCAGUUAAUUUAGUGUCAGUAAGAGCAACAUCAAAAUCUGAAAAUAAAAUUAUGAUUUUUUAUAUAAGUAAUUAUUUAUUACUCAAAAGUACUUCCAACAAGUACUUCCAACAUGGCCCCAUGGGCCUUCUUGUUGGGAUAUUUGGAGCAUUUUGAUUUAUAAUAGCAAAGUAUAAAUCUGUUAUGACUAAAGUAAAAUUAUGACUAAAUUAAAUAAGAAUAAUUGCAAAACUACAUUUUAAAGACCUCCAUAAGUUCUGCUCAGGGAUAAAAAACAAAAUCAGAUUAUUCUCUCAAUCCAUUUGGAAAUAGGUAUAUUUAAUCCUAUGUUUGUUUUUUCAGUUUUUGCUAUAUAACAACUAAAUAUGCAAAAAACCAACCAGCACUUACUAUUAAACCAUUAUUUUUGGCAUAUAAUGAACAUUAUUUGUAAUAAAAGAUCAGAUGUACUUUAUUCCUCCCCAAAUCUGGGCAAGAUCAUAAAACAAAACCCAGAUAAAGGCCACAAGCCGAAACGCGUUGUACAGUCAAUAAAGUUGCUCCUCUUUCAUUUUAAGUGUUGUUGGAGUUCCUGCCUUGUGAGCUUUUCAUCCUCUCCAUGCACCUUGGAAAUAGAUGAAGUUAUGCCAGAAAUUUUUGCUGCAAGAUCAUAAAAUAAGACAGCUCCCAAAUUAAAAAAAAGAAAGAACUCAAUAAAAGAUAAAGAUGAAGAGCUAAUUAAGUGACAAAUGUAAGUAAAUAAGUUAAUACGCAUUUAUGUAAGUAGUAUCUAAGUAACAUUAAAAAGAAUAUCCAUCUCACUACAGGGGAAUGUCUGUUGUAUAAUAAAGUAAAAGUAAAUAUACAUUAAAAAUGUAUUCAAUCAUAGCAAUAAUGUUGAUUAAGAUGCAACUGAAAUAUAUAAAAUGAAAUGUUUAUCUUUUAAAAAUAUCUAAUCAUUAAGAAAAAUAUACUUGGUAUAAACUGAAUGUACAUUAAUCAAGUAAAUGUCAUUGUGCUAUUAUUUUGGACAUAGCACUUAUGUAACAAAAUUACUUGUAAGAUUUACAUUAUAUCAAAUUAAAGUCAGCGUUUUGGGCAUAUUUUAAUUUUGAGUGUAUGAAGCAGGAACUCCACUUUUCUUCUCCUCAUACCACAUUAGUCGUAUCUGUCCUUGUGGCAGCAGAGAUGAAACAGAUGUUAAAGAAAGUGAAAAAAAAAAUCAUGACCCUCAGAUCAUUGCUGCUAUUCUUACACUGGUUUAUAUUUCAAACUGAACCACCUAAAACCUGAGCUCUAUAAA